AUUGAACGCUGGCGGCAGGCCUAACACAUGCACGUCGAACGAGUGGCGGACGGGUGAGUAAUGUCUGGGAAACUGCCUGAUGGAGGUGGAUAACUACUGGACACGGUAGCUAAUACCGCAUACCAUCAGAUGUGCCCAGAUGGGAUUAGCUUGUUGGUGUGGUAACGGCGCACCAAGGCGACGAUCCCUAGCUGGUCUGAGAGGAUGACCAGCAACAAUGGAACGGCGACAAGGGCCAGACGCCUACGUGAGGCAGGAGUGGGGAAUAGUGCACAAUGGGCGCAAGCCUGAUGCAGCCAUGCCGAGUGUAUGAAGAAGGCCUUAGGGUUGUAAAGUACUUUCAGCGGGGAGGCGUUACCCGCAGAAGAAGCACCGGCUAACUCCGGGCCAGCAGCCGCGGUAAUAC
RNAcentral lists this ribosomal RNA (406 nucleotides) under uncultured bacterium. Its description in RNAcentral is "partial 16S ribosomal RNA". It matches the Rfam family "Bacterial small subunit ribosomal RNA", at positions 30 to 526 of the family's 1533-position model. The record is from RNAcentral.